UUAUGACCAGAUCUCCAGGCUGGAACUGCCGGAUCUUGGCCCUUUUGUUGUAGCUGGAGAGGAGCUGAUGUUGGUAGGCUGCGAUGCGAGUGAUAGUCUGUUCGCGCCUCUCUUCUUCCAGAUCUAAGCUUAUGGCCAUCUCUUUUCGGUUGCUCAUCUUUUGGUUGUGUGAUAUGCCCAUAAACAUCCUUGAAGUUCGUCUGGCCAUUUUCUUUUCUUAUUGGUGAAGUAGUCGGUUGCCACGAUCAUCAUGCCUUUGCCCCUAGUAGUCUGGCUGGUGAUUAGCUAGGACUCAGAAUGAAUUGAAAGCUUUUUCACCACCAAGUCUUUUGUCAUUCGAAGGCUUGCUAGUGGGGCUUCGUACUCUGCUUUGUUAUUAGAUGCUUUGAAGCUUAGAGUGAUUGCCUGCUUGAGCAUUGAAACGUUUGGGGUGGCAAGAACCACGGCUGCUCAUGAACCUUCGUAGUUGGAUGCGCCGUCGACAUGCAAACGCCAGAAAUCUCCACUGAGGGAGCAAGUGUGGCUAAAGUGUGCUCGGCUACCUUCGGGGCGUCGUUGGGCCGAGUUGUUUCGUUCGUCAGAAAACUUGCAUCUGCCAGGGUCUACGCCUUUAUCGUUGCUGGUUUGGAUUCGGCGGAAUAGUGCGUCAUGAUGAUGACUGCUUGCGUUUGAAGGUAAAACUUGUGCUUCCGGGUUGCAACAAUUAUCGCCAAAGUUAGCUUUUGAAUUUUUAAUAGCAUCGAGAAGAGCUUUUGAACUGUCGAAUACAGGUAGUCGGGGCCCCAUCUCUUCUCGUAUGAUGGU
Molecule: long non-coding RNA, 804 nt
Filed under: Malus domestica (apple)
Lineage: Eukaryota; Viridiplantae; Streptophyta; Magnoliopsida; Rosales; Rosaceae
Description: long non-coding RNA (MDOM_LNC009327)
Source: RNAcentral